GUGCUCACUUUGGCAGCACAUAUACUACAACUGGAACCAUACAGAGAUUAGCAUGGACCCUGUGCAAGGAUGACACGCAAAUUCAUGAAGCAUUCCAUAUUUUU
Molecule: small nuclear RNA, 104 nt
Organism: Nomascus leucogenys (northern white-cheeked gibbon)
Lineage: Eukaryota; Metazoa; Chordata; Mammalia; Primates; Hylobatidae
Source: Ensembl